RNAcentral lists this ribosomal RNA (409 nucleotides) under bacterium enrichment culture clone ALO1_GLFRUDD03G637I. Its description in RNAcentral is "bacterial SSU rRNA". It matches the Rfam family "Bacterial small subunit ribosomal RNA", at positions 9 to 419 of the family's 1533-position model. The record is from RNAcentral.
GAGUUUGAUCGUGGCUCAGAUUGAACGCUGGCGGCAUGCCUUACACAUGCAAGUCGAACGGCAGCACGGGAGCUUGCUCCUGGUGGCGAGUGGCGAACGGGUGAGUAAUGCAUCGGAACGUAUCCUGGAGUGGGGGAUAACGUAGCGAAAGUUACGCUAAUACCGCAUAUUCUGUGAGCAGGAAAGCGGGGGACCUUCGGGCCUCGCGCUCUUGGAGCGGCCGAUGUCGGAUUAGCUAGUUGGUGAGGUAAAGGCUCACCAAGGCGACGAUCCGUAGCAGGUCUGAGAGGAUGAUCUGCCACACUGGAACUGAGACACGGUCCAGACUCCUACGGGAGGCAGCAGUGGGGAUUUUGGACAAUGGGGGCAACCCUGAUCCAGCCAUGCCGCGUGAGUGAAGAAGGCCUGG